RNAcentral lists this long non-coding RNA (203 nucleotides) under Bos taurus (domestic cattle). Its description in RNAcentral is "long non-coding RNA NONBTAT007017". Lineage: Eukaryota; Metazoa; Chordata; Mammalia; Artiodactyla; Bovidae. The record is from RNAcentral.
CGUGUUGUAUCCCUCAGAGGUUGGGGUGAAAAACCGUUGAGAACCACUGCUUUAGAUUCCUGAGGGAAAGAGGCCCCAUAUUUUGCAGGCAGGAAACCAUUGUUUUCUUGAUAACAUCCUUGCCCUAAAGGAAGGUGUUACCUUCAGGGUAGAGGGGCUGGGUGUCAAAGGAGUACACACUUAACCUCCUGGAAGGAGGCCUG